GAUGAACGCUGGCGGCGUGCCUAAUACAUGCAAGUCGAGCGAACAGAUAAGGAGCUUGCUCCUUUGACGUUAGCGGCGGACGGGUGAGUAACACGUGGGUAACCUACCUAUAAGACUGGAAUAACUCCGGGAAACCGGGGCUAAGGCAGGAUAACUUGUUGAACCGCAUGGUUCUACAGUGAAAGGCGGCUUUGCUGUCACUUAUAGAUGGACCCGCGCCGUAUUAGUUUGUUGGUGAGGUAACGGCCCACCAAGGCAACAAUAGGUAGCCGUCCUGAAAGCGUGGACGGCCACACUGGAACUGAGACUCGUCCCAGACUCCUACGGGGAGCAGCAGUAGGGAAUCUUCCGCGAUGGGCGAGUGGCUGACGGAGCGACGCCGCGUGAGUGAUGAAGGUCUUCGGAUCGGAAAACUCUGUUAUUAGGAAAAAACAAAUACGUUAGCAACUGUGCGCGUCUUGACGGUACCUAAUCAGAAAGCCACGGCUAACUACGUG
RNAcentral lists this ribosomal RNA (497 nucleotides) under uncultured bacterium. RNAcentral's name for it is "partial 16S ribosomal RNA". It matches the Rfam family "Bacterial small subunit ribosomal RNA", at positions 28 to 507 of the family's 1533-position model. The record is from RNAcentral.